This 73-nucleotide transfer RNA is filed under the name Mycolicibacterium mageritense. RNAcentral describes it as "tRNA-Lys". It matches the Rfam family "tRNA". Rfam says of the family: Transfer RNA (tRNA) molecules are approximately 80 nucleotides in length. Lineage: Bacteria; Bacillati; Actinomycetota; Actinomycetes; Mycobacteriales; Mycobacteriaceae. RNAcentral also lists the same sequence under 3 other names. The record is from RNAcentral.
GCGCCGUUAGCUCAGUCGGUAGAGCAGCUGACUCUUAAUCAGCGGGUCCGGGGUUCGAAACCCUGACGGCGCA